This 654-nucleotide long non-coding RNA is filed under the name Vigna radiata. RNAcentral describes it as "long non-coding RNA (VRAD_LNC010291)". Lineage: Eukaryota; Viridiplantae; Streptophyta; Magnoliopsida; Fabales; Fabaceae. The record is from RNAcentral.
ACUCUCGAGACAGGGAAGAACUCAGUUUACCCACAAGGGGUAAGUUUCUUAUUUCCUGCACCUCGUGGAUUAUCAUCCUUCCAGUCAUCCCAAGCCCUUGCUUUCUCUUGUGCUGCAUCGUCAUCGUCAUCUUCAUCAUCGUCUUCUCCAGGCUUUGACUUCCUAUCAUUGUGCCAAGAUGAAUUGGCUUCUUCCAUGAGUUUGACAUUUCUCUCUUGCCAUUUAUUCAUUAUUUCCAUUUCUUUUAGUCCAGCCUCCUCAAUGCUCAUAGUUGGCAUCCUUCCAAAAAAAAUUUCAACUUAACAUCUCAAAAAAUAUAACCAGACUGUAACUAUCAUUAGUUUAAACCUUGUUCCCAUAGGAUUUGUAAAACUCAACUAAGUUACUUCUCUCAUCCAUAGGCAAUAGAACACUGAAAACUACAAGGAAAUAAAAAAUAUUUCAUCUCUUUUCAAGCAUAUGAUCCGAGUCUGUUUAAAACACACUAAUAUUUCCCCAUUCCGAAGCCUUUCAUUAGCCAGGCAGCGAGCAUUUUAUUGAUAAAGGGGAUAAUGUGUACCUAUGACUAGGUUGGAAGACCUGAGCUGCCAUUCUUUCUCUCUCUGUUGUUAAGCUUCCAUUCAGAAGGCUGGCAGGUCCAAAUAUCAGUGGUUG